RNA transcript from Nilaparvata lugens (brown planthopper), 1466 nucleotides. It is a transcript of the gene named nucleoporin NUP35, with no coding region annotated. The transcript has 7 exons. The record is from RefSeq and is a predicted model, not a curated record. Lineage: Eukaryota; Metazoa; Arthropoda; Insecta; Hemiptera; Delphacidae.
AGAUCAGCUGACUUUGAUUUCAAAGAGAGACGGUUUGUAAGGUUUGAGGUUACGUCACUGGCGUCGUAAUUUUUUGGAAUUUUGUCAUAAAUUAAUUCACUGCUGCAAAAUUUGACCCAGAAGUUGAACGAUGGAACCUAUGACGCUGGGCUCACCGAUCGGCAGUCCCUCCUCACCCUCUGGAGGAGGAGGUGGGGGUAAUUCGGGAGGAGGAGGGGGCUCCUCGUUUCUGCCAGCCUUCCUGAUGGGUGAGGCGAACACCUCUGCAUCCUCACUCGCCAACCCUCACAGUCCGCAUCCUCACAGUCCUCAGAAGACACCCAGACAGGUGACGUUCAGCACACCGAGGCUGCAAGCUAACACGCCUCAAAAACCGGAUGGAAGCAGGCCUAGUGUUUUCGAACCACGAACCAGGUCCUUACAUGUGACACAGUCGGAAAAAUCAGGCGGAAUCCCGACGGUGGGAUUAUUUGACACAUUGGAUACGUCUUCCGUGCCUCAAUCUCCUCUCAUGAACAUCACGAACACCCUCAACACCAGUAUAACUCAGCUGGCAUCGCAAUCAAGUACACAACAGCAACAGGACACCCCAGACCGUAACACAGGCGUAACGGCCGACCACUGGGUGACCGUGUUUGGCUUUCCCCCAUCCGCGGCCACCACCGUUCUCGCACAAUUCUCACAGCUGGGGCAGCUGCAGCAGCAUGUCACCCCUCCCAAGGGCAACUGGAUGCAUUUGAGGUAUUACAGCAAGAUGGAGGCGAGACGAGCGUAUAGCUACAACGGAAAGGUGUUUGGAGGAAGUGUAAUGGUGGGGGUGGUGCCUUGUAAAGAUCCGAGUAUAGUCAAGGACCUGCUACCUUCAGUGCCCAGCUCUCCAGUGACGUUGGGACGUCGGCUGAUGUCGCCUGAUGUGGGUACACCCAUGAAUCAGUCGUCACAUUGGGACAACUCGUAUGUGGGCCCCUCCCCACGGGCGAGGCCUCUCAACAGGACGCCCCAUCCUGACACUGAGGUGAUUUGUCAACAAAAUACUCCAACCAAAAGCUCCAGUGUGGUUUCAAGAACGUUUGAAUACUUUCUAGGAUGGUAACUAAUUGUUAUUGACUAUUGGUGAUUGUAAAACAAUCAUUAAUAACUAAAUGAAAUAAUUGACAUAUUUACAUUGACAGGAUUUUGUUAUUCUAAUCUUCCAAUAUUGUUAACACUUUUUACAUUCAUAAACUAGGAAUCAAUUAUGUAACCAUAUGUGAUAUUUAUCACAAUUUGUCUGUUUGAAUUAGAUUUGAAUUAUAUUUGGUUACUAUUUUUAAUUGUUUCUUCUUUAUUUAAACAGAUUUCAUUCUAAUCUUCCCAGAUUGUUAGUUAACAUUUUUUACAUUCAUAAACUAGGAAUCAAUUUUGUAACCAUAUGUGCUGUUUACCACAAUUUGUCAGUUUGAAUUAUAUUUGGUUACUAUUUUUAA